RNAcentral lists this ribosomal RNA (208 nucleotides) under Streptococcus agalactiae. RNAcentral's name for it is "partial 16S ribosomal RNA". It matches the Rfam family "Bacterial small subunit ribosomal RNA", at positions 1 to 202 of the family's 1533-position model. The record is from RNAcentral. Lineage: Bacteria; Bacillati; Bacillota; Bacilli; Lactobacillales; Streptococcaceae.
UUUUAAUGAGAGUUUGAUCCUGGCUCAGGACGAACGCUGGCGGCGUGCCUAAUACAUGCAAGUAGAACGCUGAUGUUUGGUGUUUACACUAGACUGAUGAGUUGCGAACGGGUGAGUAACGCGUAGGUAACCUGCCUCAUAGCGGGGGAUAACUAUUGGAAACGAUAGCUAAUACCGCAUAAGAGUGAUUAACACAUGUUAGUUAUUU